RNAcentral lists this ribosomal RNA (468 nucleotides) under uncultured bacterium. RNAcentral describes it as "partial 16S ribosomal RNA". It matches the Rfam family "Bacterial small subunit ribosomal RNA", at positions 28 to 507 of the family's 1533-position model. The record is from RNAcentral.
GACGAACGCUGGCGGCGUGCUUAACACAUGCAAGUCGAACGGAAAGGCCCUGCUUUUGUGGGGUGCUCGAGUGGCGAACGGGUGAGUAACACGUGAGUAACCUGCCCUUGACUUUGGGAUAACUUAAGGAAACUGGGGCUAAUACCGGAUAGGAGCCCCUGCUGCAUGGUGGGCGUUGGAAAGUUUCGGCGGUUGGGGAUGGACUCGCGGCUUAUCAGCUUGUUGGUGGGGUAGUGGCUUACCAAGGCUUUGACGGGUAGCCGGCCUGAGAGGGUGACCGGCCACAUGGGGACUGAGAUACGGCCCAGACUCCUACGGGAGGCAGCAGUGGGGAAUAUUGCACAAUGGGCGGAAGCCUGAUGCAGCAACGCCGCGUGCGGGAUGACGGCCUUCGGGUUGUAAACCGCUUUCGCCUGUGACGAAGCGUGAGUGACGGUAAUGGGUAAAGAAGCACCGGCUAACUACGUG